This 1047-nucleotide long non-coding RNA is filed under the name Astyanax mexicanus (Mexican tetra). RNAcentral's name for it is "lncRNA (ENSAMXG00005024754.1)". The record is from RNAcentral. Lineage: Eukaryota; Metazoa; Chordata; Actinopteri; Characiformes; Acestrorhamphidae.
UAGUUUUGUCAAAUGGAUUCAAACUUUAUCUUUUCUAUCUUCUGUUUUUAGACUCUUCUAGGUCGAGCUCUCCCACUAACAAAGACUCAGAGUCUCUCCCAGCAGGAUGUCCUGGAAAGAGAACUGGAGACGUAUACGCUUCAUACUUUUCUAGGUCGAGCUCUCCCACUAACAAAGACUCAGAGUCUCUCCCAGCAGGAUGUUCUGGAGAGGGAACUGGAGAUGUAUAUAUUUUAGAUAAAGACUCUUCUAGAUCAAGCUCUCCUUCUAUCAAAGACUCAGAGUCUCUCCCAGCUGGAGUGGGAACUGGGGAUGGAUAUGCUUCAGGUAAGAUCUGUAAGGAGAUCAGCUCCAGUAGGUCUGAGAGCAGCAGUGUGGAGGUCAGAUGCAGACCUCAGGUCAGAUAUAAGACCAGCGCUCAGCUGAUUAAGAAGAAGCUGGACCAGAUCAAAGCUGAGCUGCAGAAACUUUCAGAGCAGCACCUGCGUCUGCGUCCAGAACGGCUUCUGACCCCCGCGCCCCUGAUGGAGGACCCUUAAUGAGGUCAGGAAGCGCCCGCCUGUAGAUCUGACCCGACCUGUCAGUCUGUGCCGGUGUGAAAAAUGACUCGCAUGUAUGAUUUUCACUUUAAUAAGCAUAAAGUUGGAGCGUAGCAUGGUUAAUGACUUCGUUUUAUGGGAAUCAGCCCACAGAACUGCUCUAUACUCCACCCACAGAAAUGACUAUAUUAUAUUACACUCUUCUGGCACCAUGCUCCCACUGCCCUGCUAAAAUUCACUCCAUAGUGUUGCUUAUUCUUGCAGUGAGAACAGCAAACAUGAAAUCCUCUUUAAAUUAAGUUUAAGUAUCUGAAAUUUAUUUUUAUACAUUGCUCUCAGGAUUUUAUAAAAACAUUUGACUGAUUUUUAAUUAAGUAAUUGGAUCUACUGAACAUUUCUCCUUCCAUUUUUUAGGUAUUCUAGCUUAUUUUAAGCAUUAUUUCUUGAGAAAACUUUAGUUAUCAUCAUUUCCUCAAUUAAUCAAAAUGAUGUGUCAAUAGAAUUAAAU